This 465-nucleotide ribosomal RNA is filed under the name Vreelandella stevensii. RNAcentral's name for it is "partial 16S ribosomal RNA". It matches the Rfam family "Bacterial small subunit ribosomal RNA", at positions 338 to 795 of the family's 1533-position model. Lineage: Bacteria; Pseudomonadati; Pseudomonadota; Gammaproteobacteria; Oceanospirillales; Halomonadaceae. The record is from RNAcentral.
CCUACGGGUGGCAGCAGUGGGGAAUAUUGGACAAUGGGCGAAAGCCUGAUCCAGCCAUGCCGCGUGUGUGAAGAAGGCCUUCGGGUUGUAAAGCACUUUCAGUGGGGAAGAAAGCCUUGGGGCUAAUACCCUCGAGGAAGGACAUCACCCACAGAAGAAGCACCGGCUAACUCCGUGCCAGCAGCCGCGGUAAUACGGAGGGUGCGAGCGUUAAUCGGAAUUACUGGGCGUAAAGCGCGCGUAGGCGGUCUGAUAAGCCGGUUGUGAAAGCCCCGGGCUCAACCUGGGAACGGCAUCCGGAACUGUCAGGCUAGAGUGCAGGAGAGGAAGGUAGAAUUCCCGGUGUAGCGGUGACAUGCGUAGAGAUCGGGAGGAAUACCAGUGGCGAAGGCGGCCUUCUGGACUGACACUGACGCUGAGGUGCGAAAGCGUGGGUAGCAAACAGGAUUAGAUACCCCGGUAGUC